UUGAAUGUGGUAUAGUGGCUUGAGUGUCAGACUGCAAUUCUGGAGACCAGGGUUUGAAUCCCUGCUCAAC
This is a non-coding RNA of Phrynosoma platyrhinos (Desert horned lizard), 70 nucleotides long. NCBI's taxonomy places the organism in Eukaryota, Metazoa, Chordata, Lepidosauria, Squamata, Phrynosomatidae. The record is from the annotation of a GenBank genome assembly.